AUGGCUGUGCGAGCGUAGGCGUGGCUGAUGCGGGUCAAUGUAGUAUCUGUUUUAUCAGCUUUAUAUCUGAUACGCUUUAUACUUGGACCCAAAAUAUUUAACUUAUUUUUGCAAGUUGGCGGGGCGCUUGAAGCCUGCUUCACCUCCGCCGCGGGUCGGCCUGGUAUUGCACUAUCUCCUGGAUCGGCUCACGGUAU
This is a small nuclear RNA of Dermacentor albipictus, 197 nucleotides long. RefSeq annotates it as U2 spliceosomal RNA. NCBI's taxonomy places the organism in Eukaryota, Metazoa, Arthropoda, Arachnida, Ixodida, Ixodidae. The record is from RefSeq and is a predicted model, not a curated record.